GAUGAACGCUGGCGGCGUGCUUAACACAUGCAAGUCGAGCGAUGAAGUUUCCUUCGGGGAACGGAUUAGCGGCGGACGGGUGAGUAACACGUGGGUAACCUGCCUCAUAGAGUGGAAUAGCCUUCCGAAAGGAAGAUUAAUACCGCAUAAUGUUGAAAGAUGGCAUCAUCAUUCAACCAAAGGAGCAAUCCGCUAUGAGAUGGACCCGCGGCGCAUUAGCUAGUUGGUGGGGUAACGGCCUACCAAGGCGACGAUGCGUAGCCGACCUGAGAGGGUGAUCGGCCACAUUGGGACUGAGACACGGCCCAGACUCCUACGGGAGGCAGCAGUGGGGAAUAUUGCACAAUGGGGGAAACCCUGAUGCAGCAACGCCGCGUGAGUGAUGAAGGUUUUCGGAUCGUAAAGCUCUGUCUUUGGGGAAGAUAAUGACGGUACCCAAGGAGGAAGCCACGGCUAACUACGUGCCAGCAGCCGCGGUAAUACGUAGGUGGCGAGCGUUAUCCGGAUUUACUGGGCGUAAAGGGAGCGUAGGCGGAUGAUUAAGUGGGAUGUGAAAUACCCGGGCUCAACUUGGGUGCUGCAUUCCAAACUGGUUAUCUAGAGUGCAGGAGAGGAGAGUGGAAUUCCUAGUGUAGCGGUGAAAUGCGUAGAGAUUAGGAAGAACACCAGUGGCGAAGGCGACUCUCUGGACUGUAACUGACGCUGAGGCUCGAAAGCGUGGGGAGCAAACAGG
Molecule: ribosomal RNA, 733 nt
Filed under: uncultured bacterium
Lineage: Bacteria
Description: bacterial SSU rRNA
Rfam family: Bacterial small subunit ribosomal RNA
Source: RNAcentral